AUACUGUGGCAGUUUUGAAGGCAUACUUUUUUUUGUUAAAAUUAACAUGGCAACUUGUUCCAACUAAUUUUUGGUUUUGUGGACGUUGCGAAGUUAUGUGGCUGGUGUAUUAUAUAUUUUUGGAAAGCUGAAAGGCUCAUCUACAAGACCAGCUGAUCCACCUUUGAAAUAAUGCAAAGACUAAAGGAGCUUGCAAAGUAAUGCUAAUAUGCAGUUAAAGAUAUAACUAGCUAUCUAAGCUACUUUAGCAGUGCUGUGGUCUGUUUUGUGACAGAUUGGGUUUCUUCACCAGACAUCAGAUGGAUUAACUCCUUGGCUGUAUUUGCUCUUUUCCGCACAUUCCUUUCACAUGUUUCAUCAGAAGACUUGCGAGGAAUUCUAAUGGGUGUUAUUGUCAAUGGCUAAAAUAUGGAACAUAUGUUAUUAAUUUGUUUUAUGUAAAAUGUAAUAUUACUAUUAAAAUUAUCAUAUUGUUACAGACAA
Hydractinia symbiolongicarpus is the source of this 483-nucleotide long non-coding RNA. RefSeq lists it as uncharacterized. The record is from RefSeq and is a predicted model, not a curated record. The transcript is spliced from 3 exons. NCBI's taxonomy places the organism in Eukaryota, Metazoa, Cnidaria, Hydrozoa, Anthoathecata, Hydractiniidae.